UUUUUAUUUUGGUACUUAGGAAUGUAAUCCAUUCAGACCAGGAGGUUUGAACACAUUUGGAGCAGCUACUCUUGCUGUUAUUAUUAUUUUUUUCAGGUGUUAUGGUGAUUCCCACUUAGCAGUGGCCGUUCUGCUGUUUCCUAGUCAAAUUCCAUGCUGCUUACUGAUAAGCUGGGGGCACUGGCUUCUGCUCUUGCUCUUUCUUCUGGAAACAUUAUUCUGUUCCUUUGGACAUGGGCAAGGGUCCUGUCCCUAACUUGUCCUUCUUUUUCUUUUGAUCUUAACCAGUUUCACUUGUACCAAGACCAAACUUUCUUACCUUUCCAUGCAGGGAAACAGGCACCAUCAAGAUCAAUGCCCUGGUACUCCUUAUGUAGUGAGUGAUAGAUGCUCACGGAAAAUGGGGAGAAAACUAAGGGGUGAAAGGGAAUAACUCUAAAAAGGACACGUUCACACUUUCUGACAGCAUAGUUGCAUGUUUUCAAUUUAUUUUGGCCACCAGAUGGCAUAACUGGGCUCAUUAAGAUAAACAAAGAGAAUGGCUACUACUCUGAAAAAACAAAAAAAAAAACUCUAGAUAAUUAAUGGUGAAAAUGCCCCUGAGAAAGCUCAUUUCUAAUUCUUACUCCUAGCUGGCUUUUUCUCAAAUUUAAAAGGUCACUUUGUCAUUCUUUGUAUCAUUGUUAUUCAUGUCUGUAUCUUUUACAAAUAUAUUUAUUUAAUAUUUAAUAAGACAAAUAAAAUGUUAAAAAUUAUUUUGUCCUGGGAAAGCCCAAGCCUUCCUGCACAGAAGUUGAAAUAUUCAAAGGACAAGAAAAGGCCUCUGGUACGGUCCUGUCUUGGACAGUUUCCCCGGCCACCCAGCAGGCUGCCUAUUGUGCUGUUUGAGAUGCAAAUGAUCUCUUCUUAUGCUGGGGAACCUUCUAGGCAUGGCAGGGGCAGUGGAGAGGCUACUUCCUCUCUCUCUUUUUUUUUUUUUUUUUUUUUGAGACGGAAUUCUCACUCUGUUACUAGGCUGGAGAGCGGUGGCAUGAUCUUGACACACUG
This 1047-nucleotide long non-coding RNA is filed under the name Homo sapiens (human). RNAcentral's name for it is "non-protein coding lnc-DDR1-4:1". The record is from RNAcentral. Lineage: Eukaryota; Metazoa; Chordata; Mammalia; Primates; Hominidae.